UACGUAGGGUCCGAGCGUUGUCCGGAUUCAUUGGGCGUAAAGAGUUCGUAGGCGGCUGUUCAAGUCGUACGUGAAAACUCGGAGCUCAACUCCGAGCCUGCGUUCGAUACUGGACGGCUAGAGUCUGGUAGGGGGAUCUGGAAUUCCUGGUGUAGCGGUGGAAUGCGCAGAUAUCAGGAGGAACACCGAUGGCGAAGGCAGCUCGCUGGGACGGUACUGACGCUGAGACGCGAAAGCGUGGGGAGCGAACAGG
RNAcentral lists this ribosomal RNA (253 nucleotides) under uncultured bacterium. RNAcentral's name for it is "partial 16S ribosomal RNA". It matches the Rfam family "Bacterial small subunit ribosomal RNA", at positions 524 to 776 of the family's 1533-position model. The record is from RNAcentral.